Long non-coding RNA from Leguminivora glycinivorella, 582 nucleotides. RefSeq lists it as uncharacterized. The record is from RefSeq and is a predicted model, not a curated record. Lineage: Eukaryota; Metazoa; Arthropoda; Insecta; Lepidoptera; Tortricidae. The transcript has 2 exons.
GUUAGCUUGAGACCUUGUUUGUCAAAAGCAUGUUUUAUGACCUUAAAGAGUAAUGAUCUCAAGGUUACCUUGAAAGGGUCACUUACAUGCAUACUUUCCAGAGGUCGCUGGUGAAAUUACGGUUUCCAAUAGAGCGGAGAGAGCAACUGUUCGGAAUGCCUAGCUGAACGAAUGCAUGCUACAGGCUGCGCGACAACCUUGUCAUGAAGGGCCAACUUCUGCGGUCGUUGCGCUGACAGCCACGAAAGAAGCCGUAUCACCGUGGCUUUCGUAUGAAGAUUUGAUAUGAGCUUCUUAACAAGAGCUUGUGCUGUGUUGGAAGGUGGCUAUGAUCACGCAUAGGGUGUGUCAUGUUAACCUCUCACGAGUUGUACGCCUUCUUGCGCAUGUGGGGAGCUUCACAGCCUACAGUGACGAAGCCAACUGUGAGUUUGUUCCAUGUAUUUGCUAUUUAAACGACGCCAAUCAUCAUUAUUAUAUUGAGCGGUUGGUUAGUUUGGAAUGCACCGCUCACGUAAGUCUUAACUUAAGGCAUAAAUGGCAUAAUACUUGCCUGAAAAUAAAUGAAAUGUAUUGAUGGGU